UGGGGACAUGCAGUCUCCCCGUCAGACGGUUCCGUCCAAGCACUGC
Rhizobiales bacterium 64-17 is the source of this 46-nucleotide non-coding RNA. NCBI's taxonomy places the organism in Bacteria, Pseudomonadati, Pseudomonadota, Alphaproteobacteria, Hyphomicrobiales. The record is from Rfam.